Molecule: ribosomal RNA, 303 nt
Filed under: uncultured Acholeplasma sp.
Lineage: Bacteria; Bacillati; Mycoplasmatota; Mollicutes; Acholeplasmatales; Acholeplasmataceae
Description: bacterial SSU rRNA
Rfam family: Bacterial small subunit ribosomal RNA
Source: RNAcentral
UUGGUUAAGUCCCGCAACGAGCGCAACCCUUAUUGCUAGUUACCAUCAUUGAGUUGGGGACUCUAGCGAGACUGCCAGUGAUAAACUGGAGGAAGGUGGGGAUGACGUCAAAUCAUCAUGCCCCUUAUGACCUGGGCUACAAACGUGAUACAAUGGCUGAAACAAAGGGCAGCGAAGCAGUGAUGUGGAGCGAAACCCAAAAAGCAGUCUCAGUUCGGAUUGAAGUCUGCAACUCGACUUCAUGAAGUCGGAAUCGCUAGUAAUCGCGGAUCAGAACGCCGCGGUGAAUACGUUCUCGGGUUU